Molecule: RNase P RNA, 374 nt
Filed under: Oscillospiraceae bacterium
Lineage: Bacteria; Bacillati; Bacillota; Clostridia; Eubacteriales; Oscillospiraceae
Description: RNase P RNA component class A
Rfam family: Bacterial RNase P class A
About the family: Ribonuclease P (RNase P) is a ubiquitous endoribonuclease, found in archaea, bacteria and eukarya as well as chloroplasts and mitochondria. Its best characterised activity is the generation of mature 5'-ends of tRNAs by cleaving the 5'-leader elements of precursor-tRNAs.
Source: RNAcentral
CGAGAAGAGCAGACUGCCGCGCACCAUGGGGCCGAAAGGUAUUGGUGUGAGGAAAGUCCGGGCUUCGCAGGGCAGGAUAACGGAUAACGACCGCCGGAGGCGACUCCAGGGAAAGUGCAACAGAAAUAGACCGCCUCGCUUUGAUAAAUCAAAGCUUGGUAAGGAUGGAAAGGUGAGGUAAGAGCUCACCUGCACGGCAGGCGACUGCGUGCAAAUGUAAACCCUAUCCGAAGCAACACCGUAUGCGGAGCUCCCUUUCGGGAGAUGCUUGCCCGGCAUAAUUCCGCAGGUGGCACAGAGCUGUGCAGUGAUGCAUAUGCCAAGAUAGAUGGCAGUACUACGACAGAACCCGGCUUACAGCUCUUACUCAUGCC